RNAcentral lists this ribosomal RNA (775 nucleotides) under uncultured Neocallimastigales. RNAcentral's name for it is "partial large subunit ribosomal RNA". It matches the Rfam family "Eukaryotic large subunit ribosomal RNA", at positions 24 to 616 of the family's 3401-position model. Lineage: Eukaryota; Fungi; Neocallimastigomycota; Neocallimastigomycetes; Neocallimastigales. The record is from RNAcentral.
CACGCAUGACACACUGCAUAUCAAUAAGCGGAGGAAAAGAAACUAACAAGGAUUCCCCUAGUAACGGCGAGUGAAGCGGGAAGAGCUCAAAUUUGAAAUCUUAAAGGGUUUCCCUUUACGAAUUGUAGUUUAAAGAAGUGUUUUCUGUUGGAGUUUCGGUAAAAGUUCUUUGGAAUAGGACAUCAUAGAGGGUGAGAAUCCCGUAUUUGACCGUUACUUUCCAGCUGUGUGAUACACUUUCAAAGAGUCGGAUUGUUUGGGAAUGCAGUCCAAAAUGGGUGGUAAAUUUCAUCUAAAGCUAAAUAUCGGCGAGAGACCGAUAGCGAACAAGUACCGUGAGGGAAAGAUGAAAAGAACUUUGAAAAGAGAGUUAAACAGUACGUGAAAUUGUCAAAAGGGAAGCGUUUGACACCAGUGUUGUUUAGUUGAAAAUCAAUUCAAUAAUUUUUGAUUUUGAGUAGUAUUGACUUCAUCAGCUUGCUGCUUUCUUUUCCGAAAUUAUUGAAUGCACUUUUCAGUUAACAAGUCAACAUCAAUUUCUUUUGUUGUAAAAGGGUAAGAGGAAGGUGGCUUACGCUUCGGCGUAAGUGUUUAUAGCCUUUUACCUCUGCAAUCGGAGAGAUUGAGGACAGCAGCGUAGACUCCUUCGUGGUUAGAUACACUUGUGCUAAGCUAUAGCCUUGUAUAGACAACUUGUUGACUAUGCUCAGUCAUGUAGCUUACUCGCUUGUGCUAUUUUACCUACGCUUAGGAUGUUGAGCGCAUGUCUCUCUCU